UACGUAGGUGGCAAGCGUUAUCCGGAAUUACUGGGCGUAAAGCGCACGCAGGUGGCAUGUUAAGUCUGACGUGAAAGCUCCUGGCUUAACUGGGAGAGGUCGUUGGAGACUGGCAGGCUUGAGGUAAGGAGAGGGGUGCAGAAUUCCCGGUGUAGUGGUGGAAUGCGUAGAUAUCGGGAGGAAUACCAGUGGCGAAAGCGGCACCCUGGCCUUGGCCUGACGCUCAGGUGCGAAAGCGUGGGGAGCGAAC
Molecule: ribosomal RNA, 250 nt
Filed under: uncultured bacterium
Lineage: Bacteria
Description: partial 16S ribosomal RNA
Rfam family: Bacterial small subunit ribosomal RNA
Source: RNAcentral